CCUGCGGGAGGCAGCAGUGAGGAAUAUUGGACAAUGGGUGGAAGCCUGAUCCAGCCAUCCCGCGUGCAGGAAGACGGCCCUAUGGGUUGUAAACUGCUUUUAUCUGGGGAUAAACCUACUUACGUGUAAGUAGCUGAAGGUACCAGAAGAAUAAGCACCGGCUAACUCCGUGCCAGCAGCCGCGGUAAUACGGAGGGUGCAAGCGUUAUCCGGAUUUAUUGGGUUUAAAGGGUCCGUAGGCGGACUGAUAAGUCAGUGGUGAAAUCCGACAGCUUAACUGUCGAACUGCCAUUGAUACUGUUAGUCUUGAGUAAGGUUGAAGUGGCUGGAAUAAGUAGUGUAGCGGUGAAAUGCAUAGAUAUUACUUAGAACACCAAUUGCGAAGGCAGGUCACUAAGUCUUAACUGACGCUGAUGGACGAAAGCGUGGGGAGCGAACAGGAUUAGAAACCCCUGUAGUCCCAUGA
RNAcentral lists this ribosomal RNA (466 nucleotides) under uncultured organism. RNAcentral's name for it is "partial 16S ribosomal RNA". It matches the Rfam family "Bacterial small subunit ribosomal RNA", at positions 338 to 800 of the family's 1533-position model. The record is from RNAcentral.